This is a long non-coding RNA of Rhododendron vialii, 349 nucleotides long. RefSeq lists it as uncharacterized. NCBI's taxonomy places the organism in Eukaryota, Viridiplantae, Streptophyta, Magnoliopsida, Ericales, Ericaceae. The record is from RefSeq and is a predicted model, not a curated record. The transcript has 2 exons.
GUGACAGAGGGUACACGGGUUCUUGGUUCGCAAAUCAACCAAGGGUGGGCGGCGGGUCAUUGCUCGAAGAAUCGCAAAGGGACGGUUUAGAAUCACAGCAUAGCUGCUUGUUAUUUUGACUCUGUCAUGUUUCAAUGAAAUCAAGUUCUAGUUCUCCACUUUUGUAAGGGUGGUGAGCAACUAGGAGGAACCUUUGCUUCUUUCCGGUGGCUGCUUGAGUGCCUGAUGGUCAUUUAAUAGAGCUAUGGUUGACAGAGCAUCAGAGCCCUCUCUUGUGAAGCUACUUGAAUUCUCUUUGUCAAAUUAUCCUCUUUCGGUUAUUCAUAUGCAUGUCUGCUGCAGUUUAUUA